This 476-nucleotide ribosomal RNA is filed under the name uncultured bacterium. RNAcentral's name for it is "bacterial SSU rRNA". It matches the Rfam family "Bacterial small subunit ribosomal RNA", at positions 24 to 518 of the family's 1533-position model. The record is from RNAcentral.
UCAGGACGAACGCUGGCGGCGUGCCUAACACAUGCAAGUCGAGCGAGGAGAUCCUCGGGAUGAUCCUAGCGGCGGACGGGUGAGUAACACGUGGGCAACCUGCCUCAUAGAGAGGAAUAGCCUUCCGAAAGGGAGAUUAAUACCUCAUAACAUUGCAGUUUCGCAUGGAACAGCAAUUAAAGGAGCAAUCCGCUAUGAGAUGGGCCCGCGGCGCAUUAGCUAGUUGGUGAGGUAACGGCUCACCAAGGCGACGAUGCGUAGCCGACCUGAGAGGGUGAUCGGCCACAUUGGGACUGAGACACGGCCCAGACUCCUACGGGAGGCAGCAGUGGGGAAUAUUGCACAAUGGGGGAAACCCUGAUGCAAGCAACGCCGCGUGAGUGAUGACGGCCUUCGGGUUGUAAAGCUCUGUCUUCAGGGACGAUAAUGACGGUACCUGAGGAGGAAGCCACGGCUAACUACGUGCCAGCCGCAGC